GGGUUAGUAACGCGUGGGAACAUGCCCUUCUCUACGGAAUAGCCCAGGGAAACUUGGAUUAAUACCGUAUACGCCCUUCGGGGGAAAGAUUUAUCGGAGAAGGAUUGGCCCGCGUUGGAUUAGGUAGUUGGUGGGGUAAUGGCCUACCAAGCCUACGAUCCAUAGCUGGUUUGAGAGGAUGAUCAGCAACACUGGGACUGAGACACGGCCCAGACUCCUACGGGAGGCAGCAGUGGGGAAUCUUAGACAAUGGGGGAAACCCUGAUCUAGCGAUGCCGCGUGAGUGAUGAAGGCCUUAGGGUCGUAAAGCUCUUUCGCCAGGGAAGAUAAUGACUGUACCUGGUAAAGAAACCCCGGCUAACUCCGUGCCAGCAGCCGCGGUAAUACGGAGGGGGUUAGCGUUGUUCGGAAUUACUGGGCGUAAAGCGCACGUAGGCGGAUCAGAAAGUAAGAGGUGAAAUCCCAGGGCUCAACCCUGGA
RNAcentral lists this ribosomal RNA (480 nucleotides) under uncultured prokaryote. RNAcentral describes it as "bacterial SSU rRNA". It matches the Rfam family "Bacterial small subunit ribosomal RNA", at positions 104 to 619 of the family's 1533-position model. The record is from RNAcentral.